GCAAAUUUAAACAUGUUGGAGAUUUUUGUUACAAAGUUCAAAACCUAACUAAAUAGUAGCAGCUAUAAUACUCCGAAAAUGCGAUUGCAAAUUCGUUGUCGGUGAUAAAAAGCAAGCACUUCACCUGUACAGAGUACAGACGGACCGUCACCGUCUAAAAUUCGGAGCUUCGUCGGCGUUAAUCUCCGCCUUCCGGUAGUGUAUUCAGAUCCAAAUCAACUCUUUUAUGGCUAUCCUCUACUUCACCGAUCUGAGCAUUUUUCUGAAGAUAUUUCACUGCCACGUUCAUCCUCCGUAAGAUCGCGAAGAAUUCGUUAACUUCCGCCUCCGAUGGCGGCGGCGGCUUCGAUACUACGGUGUUCGCCUUCACAGAACUUUCUCUCUCAUGUCUGCUUCGAUCACCGCCGUUGUCAGUUCUCUUCCGCUUCUUGUGCCGGUCCAUCAGUGUAGCCUCACCGUUGUCGAUUUUAAUUUUAUUCUCUGCUCUCUAGAAUAGUCUAUGAAGAAGUCUGCCGUUGUCAGUUCUCU
This 528-nucleotide unclassified non-coding RNA is filed under the name Hevea brasiliensis (rubber tree). The record is from RNAcentral. Lineage: Eukaryota; Viridiplantae; Streptophyta; Magnoliopsida; Malpighiales; Euphorbiaceae.